This 99-nucleotide small nuclear RNA is filed under the name Lynx canadensis (Canada lynx). Lineage: Eukaryota; Metazoa; Chordata; Mammalia; Carnivora; Felidae. The record is from RNAcentral.
UUGAAAAAAAAAAUUUAAAAAACUAGAACAAUACAGAGAAGAUCGGCAUGGUCUCUGCUCGAGGACGACACAAAAAUUCAUAAAGCGUUCCGUAUUUCU